Molecule: transfer RNA, 107 nt
Filed under: Grifola frondosa (maitake)
Lineage: Eukaryota; Fungi; Basidiomycota; Agaricomycetes; Polyporales; Grifolaceae
Rfam family: tRNA
About the family: Transfer RNA (tRNA) molecules are approximately 80 nucleotides in length. Their secondary structure includes four short double-helical elements and three loops (D, anti-codon, and T loops).
Source: Rfam by way of RNAcentral
GGCAAGAUGCCGAGCGGUCCAAGGCGUGUGACUCAAGCAAAGCUUGCCUGCUCCCGCGGGUUUCUCAUCUGGGUAUCCAGGCGUGGGUUCAAAUCCCACUCUUGUCA